AACGGAAAUUUUACGGCGUGCCC
RNAcentral lists this non-coding RNA (23 nucleotides) under Arabidopsis thaliana (thale cress). Lineage: Eukaryota; Viridiplantae; Streptophyta; Magnoliopsida; Brassicales; Brassicaceae. The record is from RNAcentral.